UCAAUACCAAUAACAUUUACCAAUCAUGGCCUGAGAAAGGAAGCAUUAGGGCUUCUUCAUUAUCCAUUGUAUAUGUUGUCUUUUUUGGAAUUGCAACAAGGAAUUGAGUCCCAAGUAGUUAUAGGGGUUAUGUGACUCUAAGGGUUGUUGUACUAAUCAAAAAAGCUGUGGAAAUGAUUGAGUUUGAUGUGGCUCAACUGAUAUUUGAUUAGGUAGUUAGUCAUGCUGAGAGGUAC
Molecule: long non-coding RNA, 236 nt
Filed under: Gossypium barbadense (sea-island cotton)
Lineage: Eukaryota; Viridiplantae; Streptophyta; Magnoliopsida; Malvales; Malvaceae
Description: long non-coding RNA (GBAR_LNC019031)
Source: RNAcentral